CUCAGAGCUGUUUUGUGCUUGUCAGCAGGAAUGCAGUAAAUGCACAGAUAUCUGUAGUAACAGGUCCUAGAGCAGACAGACAUGGCUGUCACGUGGCUCCAGCCCUGGGGGAGUCAUCUGCCACCGCCUCCUAAAUCCGCAGCACCACCACUUGGAAGGAGAAACAACUCAUCGGACUAAGCAGCCAGAGCUUGUUCCAGAGCAGAAGAGGUCCCGGCUGCCUCCCAGAUUGAGGGACUGCAGCAAUCCAGAACAGAGAACAAAUGGUGGGGGGCUGUGGUGCUGCACAUCACACAGCUAAGAAGCCUCUAAAGAGAACCACAGUCACGCGGCCACCAUCUUGAAUACAAACAAGCACAGGAGGACUUGCCCAGGAC
This 377-nucleotide long non-coding RNA is filed under the name Salmo salar (Atlantic salmon). RNAcentral describes it as "lncRNA (ENSSSAG00000105385.1, ENSSSAG00075036549.1)". Lineage: Eukaryota; Metazoa; Chordata; Actinopteri; Salmoniformes; Salmonidae. The record is from RNAcentral.